RNAcentral lists this ribosomal RNA (497 nucleotides) under uncultured bacterium. Its description in RNAcentral is "partial 16S ribosomal RNA". It matches the Rfam family "Bacterial small subunit ribosomal RNA", at positions 28 to 507 of the family's 1533-position model. The record is from RNAcentral.
GACGAACGCUGGCGGCGUGCCUAAUACAUGCAAGUUGAGCGCUGAAGGUUGGUACUUGUACCAACUGGAUGAGCAGCGAACGGGUGAGUAACGCGUGGGGAAUCUGCCUUUGAGCGGGGGACAACAUUUGGAAACGAAUGCUAAUACCGCAUAAAAACUUUAAACACAAGUUUUAAGUUUGAAAGAUGCAAUUGCAUCACUCAAAGAUGAUCCCGCGUUGUAUUAGCUAGUUGGCGAGGUAAAGGCUCACCAAGGCGAUGAUACAUAGCCGACCUGAGAGGGGGAUCGGCCACAUUGGGACUGAGACACGGCCCAAACUCCUACGGGAGGCAGCAGUAGGGAAUCUUCGGCAAUGGACGAAAGUCUGACCGAGCAACGCCGCGUGAGUGAAGAAGGUUUUCGGAUCGUAAAACUCUGUUGGUAGAGAAGAACGUUGGUGAGAGUGGAAAGCUCAUCAAGUGACGGUAACUACCCAGAAAGGGACGGCUAACUACGUG